UUCACUCAAGAUUCAAUAGCAGAUCUCAAACACGUAAUGACAAACACUUUAGUAUUUUGACAUUUGUACAUGCGUUCAGUAGCAUCUAGCUACAUUACUAAAUAGAGUUUACAUGCAAGACAAUAAGACCUUUUGUUCAAACUAAGCUACACAAAUGGUUUGAGCUGCGAAUACAAGAAACGUCAUGUAGUCUUCAAGUGCUAUCAUGUAGAAGAAACAUCAUGUAGACGUGAAGUGCUAUCAUGUAGAAGAAACAUCGUGUAGAUAGUGCAGAAGAUCUUCCAACGAUGAUGCCAACCUGAACAGAGAAGAUGGUAGAACUGCUAUAAGCUAAUAAUCUUGGUAAAUAUCUAUAUUGUAGCACAAAAAAUGGACAUAGUCUCAGACAUCAAACACUAAUGGCUCGCCUCUUGAGGGGGGAUUUUGCGUGCCAGAGGAUAUGGGCACAUAGUUGAUAGAAAAGUUUGACAGGAACCUGCAUGAAUAAUCCAUUAAUCGUCAUGUCCUAACAUGUUCUCGGCUCUGCUACUAGCACUUGUACUGGCAUAAAUUUACUUGCAAACGUACCAGCUGAAUUGCUCUGUUAAAGAAAAGCUUUGGAUUAAAUAUAGCUUCUAAAUAUUAGCCACCAAAAGGUCGGCCAAACUUUGCUGAAGCCCUGCAAAUGAGCAUAAGAUGUGCAUAUAUGUAACCGCAGAGAAAAUAGUUAGUUCAAGGUAUUGGAAGGAUAUAAAAGACCUGCACCCAGCGACAUAAACAAAGUUUUACACAUCCAGUCUUCCUAAUCAAUUUAAGAAUUCAUCACAAAUUUUAAUGAUCAAAAUAUUCAGACCAACGACAACAGGUUUUAACUAAAAAAGGUCAUAUAAAAUCAUGACAAUUGUAAAAGAAAGGAGAAGGGAAAUUACUUGUUGCUUCUUUUACAUCUCCUUGCAUAAAGCUAGGACUCUAGAAUCAAUUAAUAUGUCGAGAAUCAAUGAAAUAAACUAAAUAACCACCAUAAUUGCCAUCUUGUACAUGAGCUUGUUGUUUAUACUUUGAUAUCUAGUUAAGCAAAGAACAGAAAACACUUGGACAUAGUUUAUUCACAUAAGAUUCAAAGAUAUGAAACCAGGCUGCCAAAUAAUCAUGUUAUUUACACAAGGUAGAAGCUCGUAAAGAAGACAUUAAUCAAGUAGUAGCAUCAACCAGAAUGAGCAGAAUAUCUACACAUACGUUUUGACAAGUACAGAAUGAGCAAGUAUCUCAAUUCUCCUCCAUGCACAAGACUUUGAGUUGUAAAUGAACUUGGUUCCUAAAGAUUUGUCUAGAAAUAACUAAAAUAUACAUGAGAUAGGAUCAGAUAAGUAUUCCAAAGCAAGUAGUCAUAUCAUGUUUUAAAACAGAUGCGUAGCUGACAGAACACCAAUUUCUGCUAGCAUCAUUUUCAACUUUCAGUGUGUAUCUAUAGCAAGGUUCCUGAUGUGUACAAAAUACAAAAAAGUGUAAUGCCACUAUGCUAGGUCAGCCACUUUUUACACAUAAAAAAGUACUGGACUAUGCAUAGGAAUACAAGAGAAGGCAUCACCUAUGCUCUUCAUAAAUGGUUAUAUGUCAGGAGACCAACGACUCUGUUUCAAGUACUGCCCAAUAACAAAAGACUAAUCUUCAGAAUACACAGGGCAUGUAAAAGCUCAGUUCCAGGACAUGUAAAAGCUUCCAGUAGUUGUAUGCAUAAAAAGACUAAUCAAAUUCAGGGCAUGUAUACAGAUGGCAAGCAAAAUCUCAGUUCAUAUGUUUACUGCAGUUUCAUUUGCAUGAAGCAUAUAAGAAACGAAAUGCUAAAUAAGUUUCAAUGUUCUGAAAUAGCAGCAAACAUGUAUCCAAAAGUAAAUAUAUAAUCAUAAGAGCAUAAGCUUAUGUGCUUGUAUGGAGUAGUUGACACUGCUUGGAGAGGACAAAGAAGAUGUACGCUGCUCACAAGACAAACAAUCCAAAAAAAUAUUUCAGUGAAAGCAUCAAAUGAAAAUUAGGGAACAGUUUGUAAGAAUUACAUAUAGGAGAAAAGAGCAUGGUACUCAGCUAGCCUCAUGUCCUAAUUCUUCCAAUUUUUCUACUUAGGAGCAUAGCUCCCAAUUUCCAUUACUGAAAACAUCAGAGACUAAGCCACACACACCAGCACUACUACCAAACCUAGACGCACAACCUAAACAACAAGCAUCCAAACGUUCUAAUUAUCAGCAACAAAACAGCAGUCUUAUAUUACUCGUGGCCCUGCAUGACAAGGUACUGUACUGCUAGGGUUAUAUUACUUGUACAUGGCACUGCCAGUAGACCCUUUUCCAAAAUCUGAACCACAUGCACAUCUUAAGCUGUGUACCAUCUCUAUGAACAUAGCUAUGGAUGUAUUUGUUCUUAAGUGUUAAGCUAAAUAAAAGAAGUUUUAACAAUAGGGGAUCUUGUAAUUUAAUAAGUCAUGAUGCCAUGCUAUUUCCAGUAGUGGUGACAGUACAAAACCAAAUUGCUAUCAUUUUACUCUAGA
Molecule: long non-coding RNA, 2521 nt
Filed under: Triticum aestivum (bread wheat)
Lineage: Eukaryota; Viridiplantae; Streptophyta; Magnoliopsida; Poales; Poaceae
Description: long non-coding RNA (TAES_LNC005648)
Source: RNAcentral